Molecule: ribosomal RNA, 412 nt
Filed under: uncultured bacterium
Lineage: Bacteria
Description: bacterial SSU rRNA
Rfam family: Bacterial small subunit ribosomal RNA
Source: RNAcentral
ACUCGGAAAUGGCAUUGGAAACUACCCUGCUCGAGGGUUGGAGGGGGGACUGGAAUACUUGGUGUAGCAGUGAAAUGCGUAGAUAUCAAGUGGAACACCAGUGGCGAAGGCGAGUCCCUGGACAACUCCUGACACUGAGGCACGAAAGCUAGGGGAGCAAACAGGAUUAGAUACCCUGGUAGUCCUAGCUGUAAACGGUGCACGUUUGCUGUAAAAGGAAUCGACCCCUUUUGUGGCGUAGCCAACGCGUUAAACGUGCCGCCUGGGAAGUACGGUCGCAAGAUUAAAACUCAAAGAAAUUGACGGGGGCCUGCACAAGCGGUGGAGUAUGUGGCUCAAUUCGAUGCAACGCGAAGAACCUUACCUGGCCUUGACAUGCAAGUAGUAGAAGGGUGAAAGCCUGACGAGGUAG